GAUGAAGAACGUAGCGAAAUGCGAUACGUAAUGUGAAUUGCAGAAUUCAGUGAAUCAUCGAAUCUUUGAACGCAUAUUGCGCUCUUUGGUAUUCCGAAGAGCAUGCUUGUUUGAGUAUCAGUUAACACCUCAACCUCUUCUUGAUUUUUCAAAAGGAGGGUGGACUUGAGCUAUCCCAACAACCUUUACCGGUCGGCGGGCGGCUUGAAAUGCAGGUGCAGCUGGACUUUUAUCUGAGCUAAAAGCAUAUCUAUUUAGUCCUCGUCAAACAGGAUUAUUACUUUUGCUGCAGCUAACAUAAAGGAUAAUUGUCCUCUUUGCUGACUGAUGCAGGAUUUUACGACACUUUAUGUGUUGUUCAACUCGAUCUCAAAUCAAGUAAGACUACCCGCUGAACUUAAGCAUAUCAAUAAGCGGAGGA
RNAcentral lists this unclassified non-coding RNA (421 nucleotides) under soil metagenome. Its description in RNAcentral is "partial contains 5.8S ribosomal RNA, internal transcribed spacer 2, and large subunit ribosomal RNA". The stretch from base 1 to 120 matches the Rfam family "5.8S ribosomal RNA", at positions 35 to 154 of the family's 154-position model. The record is from RNAcentral.